Molecule: long non-coding RNA, 955 nt
Organism: Nyctereutes procyonoides (raccoon dog)
Lineage: Eukaryota; Metazoa; Chordata; Mammalia; Carnivora; Canidae
Exons: 2
Source: RefSeq, a predicted model, not a curated record
AAGUGGACCAGGAUGGGAGAACCCUGAGCCCGAGGGGCCUGUCCCGGCGGUGCCAGCCCAGCAGGGGGGCUCGAUCUUGUCGCCCCACGUCUGCGAACAUGAAGACACAGGGGAGACGGAUUGUGUCACAGCGCAGCAUAUUUCAAUCCGGGAGGCGAUUUGUCAUCAGAAACAUUUCUUCUGUUUUUAGAUUUCAUCGAAUGUAUACAUGACAUGUAGAGUCAAAAAGCAGAUUUGCGCACUCAAAUGGUUCCAGUCAUACUGAGCUUUCAGAUGGCUGAAAGGAACCUCAGUCUUCAAAUUUAGAUGUAAAUCAGUUAAAGUCAAAUGAAGUAAAAGAAAUUCCAUUCUUCAGUGGCAUUAGCCACCUUUCUAGCCCUCAAUAGCCCCGUGGGUAGCAGCUGCCACCGUCCCGGAGAGCACAGGUCCAGAGGCCAACAACUAUCCUGCCUGCUUUUGGAGGUUCUUUCCCCUCACCCCUUUGCUAAGCAAUUACUGAGGUGGUCUCGAGGGACACUCUGCAGGGGUCCUCUGCACGUAACUCCUCAGGAAGAGAGAUGGAUUCCAAAGCCCUCACAUCUAACUGCCUUGGGAUGCCAGUUGCUCCACGGGGAUCUUCAGCAGCCCCCUGCCCAGAGCUGUGGGCCAGGCAUGGAAGGAGGCGAGCAGAUGAGGAAACGCCCAUCAGAAGGCUCUCAGGACCCAAGCUCAACUGCAGGCAUUGUUUCCAAAACCUCAACAAUAGGUGAGUGUAAACACACAGGUCCUAGAUCCUGGAGCAUGCAAACUUGUCCUAGAAAUGCGCUGGAGGGCAGAAGAUGGCCUCAUGAGCUCGUCUACCGCCUGCCAGGUAUUUACACAGGGAUAAAAAUCUGUUUUUUGUUUGCUUGUUUCCACUGCAUUUAUUACUAAUAUAAAAAAAUGUUGAAAAGAAAAAAAAAUUCAUUCUCAGUUC